RNAcentral lists this unclassified non-coding RNA (253 nucleotides) under uncultured Caryophanaceae bacterium. RNAcentral describes it as "uncultured Planococcaceae bacterium contains 16S-23S intergenic spacer region". It matches the Rfam family "Bacterial small subunit ribosomal RNA", at positions 524 to 776 of the family's 1533-position model. Lineage: Bacteria; Bacillati; Bacillota; Bacilli; Caryophanales; Caryophanaceae. The record is from RNAcentral.
UACGUAGGUGGCAAGCGUGGGCCGGUAUUAUGGGUCUUAAAGCGCGCGCAGGCGGUCCUUUAAGUCUGAUGUGAAAGCCCACGGCUCAACCGUGGAGGGUCAUUGGAAACUGCGGGACUUGAGUGCAGAAGAGGAAAGUGGAAUUCCACGUGUAGCGGUGAAAUGCGUAGAGAUGUGGAGGAACACCAGUGGCGAAGGCGACUUUCUGGUCUGUAACUGACGCUGAGGCGCGAAAGCGUGGGGAGCAAACAGG